This 72-nucleotide transfer RNA is filed under the name Cordylochernes scorpioides. RNAcentral's name for it is "tRNA-Gly". It matches the Rfam family "tRNA". From Rfam's summary of the family: Transfer RNA (tRNA) molecules are approximately 80 nucleotides in length. Their secondary structure includes four short double-helical elements and three loops (D, anti-codon, and T loops). Further hydrogen bonds mediate the characteristic L-shaped molecular structure. tRNAs have two regions of fundamental functional importance: the anti-codon, which is responsible for specific mRNA codon recognition, and the 3' end, to which the tRNAs corresponding amino acid is attached (by aminoacyl-tRNA synthetases). tRNAs cope with the degeneracy of the genetic code in two manners: having more than one tRNA (with a specific anti-codon) for a particular amino acid; and 'wobble' base-pairing, i.e. permitting non-standard base-pairing at the 3rd anti-codon position. Lineage: Eukaryota; Metazoa; Arthropoda; Arachnida; Pseudoscorpiones; Chernetidae. The record is from RNAcentral.
GCAUCAGUAGUUCAAUGGCGAGAAUACUCGCCUGCCACGCGGGAGGCCCGGGUUCGAUUCCCGGCCGAUGCA